GAUUAACGCUGGCGGCGUGCAUAACACAUGCAAGUCGAACGAUGAAACUCAUUAGAUUUCUUCGGAAUGAAAAUGAAUGGAUUAGUGGCGAACGGGUGAGUAACGCGUGAGUAACCUGCCUUACACAAGGGGAUAGCCUCUGGAAACGGAGAAUAAUACCCUAUGAAACCAGACAAUCGCAUGAUAAUCUGGUCAAAAUGUUUAGUGGUGUAAGAUGGACUUGCGUCUGAUUAGCUAGUUGGUGAGAUAAAAGCUCACCAAGGCAACGAUCAGUAGCCGGCUUGAGAGGGUGUACGGCCACAUUGGGACUGAGACACGGCCCCGACUCCUACGGGAGGCCGCAGUGGGGAAUUUUGCCCAAUGGGGGAAACCCCGAUGCAGCGACGCCGCGUGAUUUAGAAGGCCUUCGGGUUGUAAAAAUCUUUUGUAUAGGAAGAAAAUGACAGUACUAUACGAAUAAGGUCCGGCUAAUUACGUG
RNAcentral lists this ribosomal RNA (478 nucleotides) under uncultured bacterium. Its description in RNAcentral is "partial 16S ribosomal RNA". It matches the Rfam family "Bacterial small subunit ribosomal RNA", at positions 28 to 507 of the family's 1533-position model. The record is from RNAcentral.